CUGGGAGAAGAGGGAGGCUUGGGCUGUCUUCUAAUGGGGCUGAUCUUUAGCCUCCCCCCCACCGCCAAAAAUACAGUAUUUUUCUGGGACUGCUUCAUGGAGUCCAAGAUGCCACCCGUUUGCUCAACAGCUGUAUUGGGACGGGGGGCAUCUUCUGAGCAGGAAGCAUUUUCCCGUGCAGUUCAGCUGACAUCUUUAGACGCAGGAACAGCCCACAGGCCUCAGGAAGGAUGCCUAGAAGUUUCCAGGGGAUGGAUUCCCUUCUGCCCAGCCAGAUAACGGCACUGUAGCCCCGCAUGUGGCCGGAGGGCAUCAGGUUGGGGAAAAUAGCCAUCAGGAAGAGGAAAGGCCACCCAGAUCCCUCAGGCCAAACGUGCCGCUUCUGGCUUAGCUGUGAUUCGGUGGAGAAACACUGUCCUGUGAAGUCCCACUGCUGGAGCUCCACCGUUGUGGGGAAGGGGGGCCGAGUCUGAUCCUUCCCCCUCACAAGAGAAUUGGCCCAUUUUGCCCACUUUGUAAAAUGGUGUCGCCUAAAAAUGGGAUUGAAAGUGAGAGAGGGAGGGACCGUAAGGCAGUUUUUUCCGAUCUCGGCAACUUUAAGAGUUGAAGUCCACUCAUCUUCAAGUUGCUGAGUUUGAAGAAAACUGCUGUAAGGGAACAGAUCCUCUUCCCACUGCAAGCCGCAUCAUUAGCUGGCAGUGGUGGUCUCCUCUGUAAACUGGUUUGUGCUAGCCGCUUUUACCGCUGAUGUAGCUGGACGGGAGGAACAAAAGACCUUGCACAAUAUUUUGCCCCUCCAAUUUCAAAAACACUCUCUUUGCAUUUUUUAAAUCUGUAAGUUCCUUUUGCUUGCUCAGCUUUUCCUAAUCGAUCUGGAACUGCCGUGCUCUGAUCAUCUCUAAACUGAAAUGGUGUAAUGUUUUGUUUUCUAAUGUGACUGUUUUUAAAUUAUGAAAGGAAAUAAAAUACCAGCAAAACAAGAAAGAGAGAAAAAGCUUCAUGAGGAAAAACAAAUUAUGUUUGAAACCUCAAAACCAAGGAAAUAAAAAAAUCACGUCGUAACUCUCCAAUAAGGGAAUUUUUAGAAAGUAUGAGUAUGCUAUUUUCAAAAGAAGUUUUAAAUAUUACUGUCUGAGUGAUUGUAUUAGACAAGCAAUAAAGACUCUGUAAUCACAAGAAUACAAAUAAAAUCUUGUUAAAUCCA
Molecule: non-coding RNA, 1204 nt
Organism: Python bivittatus (Burmese python)
Lineage: Eukaryota; Metazoa; Chordata; Lepidosauria; Squamata; Pythonidae
Source: RefSeq, a predicted model, not a curated record